This 398-nucleotide ribosomal RNA is filed under the name uncultured eukaryote. RNAcentral's name for it is "SSU rRNA". It matches the Rfam family "Eukaryotic small subunit ribosomal RNA", at positions 567 to 972 of the family's 1831-position model. The record is from RNAcentral.
CCAGCAGCCGCGGUAAUUCCAGCUCUAAUAGCGUAUAUUAAAGUUGUUGCAGUUAAAAAGCUCGUAGUCGGAUGUCGGGCUCGGGCAGGCUGUCGGCUUCGGUCGGACGGCAGGCUCGGGUCUUUCUGCCUGAGGAACCCGUGGCACUUAACUGUGCGGCGUGGGGACGCAGGCCGUUUACUUUGAAAAAAUUAGAGUGCUCAAAGCAGGCUAUUCCGCCUGAAUAUUCGUGCAUGGAAUAAUAGAAUAGGAUGUCGAUCCUAUUUUGUUGGUUUUCGGGACUCGACAUAAUGAUUAAUAGGGACAAUUGGGGGCAUUUGUAUUCAAACGACAGAGGUGAAAUUCUUGGACCGUUUGAAGACAAACUACUGCGAAAGCAUUUGCCAAGAAUGUUUUCA